Molecule: long non-coding RNA, 1953 nt
Filed under: Triticum aestivum (bread wheat)
Lineage: Eukaryota; Viridiplantae; Streptophyta; Magnoliopsida; Poales; Poaceae
Description: long non-coding RNA (TAES_LNC016168)
Source: RNAcentral
CACUACGUAACUUCUUUCAUUUGUCAUGUUAGAAUUUAGAUACACAGUUUUGUUUUGGGCAAGUUGCUUAUAGACAGUUUUUUGAUUUAUUUCCCGGGCCUAAUACCAAUGUGAUGUGCAGAUAACUUAUAUCCAGCCAAGCGCUUGCCUUGACGUCCUCACAGCUGGAGAUCCAUGACUAAGAGCUCUCCUCAAUGUAUGCAGGUACUGCCUAGACCUUAAAGAAGUUAAUUGAUGUUAAUAUAUAGUUAAUAUGUUUUUCUGAAUUUAUUUUGAGGGAAAAUGAUCAGGUCGCCGAGUAAAUAUCCAACUCGGUCUGUUUUCAGUGCGCAUAUAUCAUUUCCUCAAUUAGUAAUGCAAAUUAGCAGCCACUUCAAUUUUUUGUUUGCAUUUUCUUUGCAAUCAGCAAGGAACCCAAGGACAGAUGUACAUUCGCUCACGUGAAUUCUAGCCCCUAGAUUGUUUGUGGCUUUGGGCAAUACAGAAUUGGAGAACUUGCUGUAAAGGUUUGGAUAGAAUGUCAUAGUUGUAUCCACAACUGCUUAAUCAUUAAUUUGUAGUUGAAAUCCUGCACGCAUCUCUCUGUAUUUGUUUAUCUUAUCGGCUAUCAUGCACCAUAACUUGAUGAAUGGAAAUACCAGUAAAGUUUCGACAGCGGUAAGUUUCCACAAAUAUACAGUUUCUGUAUAUCAAGGUUGUCUCCCAGUGAUUCACUCCUUGUUCAAGUGCUGGCAUACAUAAACUUAAACAAAAAAAAUAUGUACACAUGUUUAUCACUCUAAACACAAAAAGCCUUUAGAAUCAGCGAUAACUUUAGAAAAAGCUGGCCUGGAUUCUGAAUAUGCUAGAUAAUAUGGCUUCCUCUAUUAUAACACCCAAAAAAAAGGCUUGUGCAUGACUGAUGCUAUCCAACUAGAUGGUGUAAUAAUUACUACUGAUUUUUGCAUGACAGUGGGUUGUCACAUAUUCGCAACAGGGCUGAGCAGUCGUGUAGCGUCGCUGGUUGUGUUCAUUAGUGUGAUUGAUAUGUUCUUGUUUGUUGGUGGUCUCUAUAUGUUUGUUCUUGUGAGAACUAAACACAUUCUGUUUUUUCAGGUCUCCAUUCAAGCGGAUGAUGACAAAUGUAUGAUGGAUAGAGAGGAAUAAGUUUUCUAGAAAACGUCUUCGUAUUUUAGUGUAUGGUUUUUUAGAGAGGAGGCGCUUUCCCGGCUUUAGCGAAAUGAAGCCCUUAAAGCGUUUACAACCAGAGUAGCAAAACGAGAAUAAAAAAGGGGUUCGAUACAAGCCACACAGGGCUAACACACAAGGCCGAACGAAAACGAAAAACUGAGCAUAACGGAGGAUCAGUCUCCAGGCAUAUUUUUUAGUGAAAUAAGGUGGGUACAAGUAAUUCUAGAUCCAAAUUUAGAGCUCUUGCCAGUAAUCAGUAGCAAAAUUCAAGAUUGCCGAGAAGAGAGGUGAACCUAAAGGCUUUAGCACUAUUGUUAGGAUACUAUGUUGCUUCCAGGCUAUGGAUAAGAAUAGUUCAGUCGCUUGAGAGAUUGUUGAACAUAUGAAAUUGUUGGAAAUCUCUGGGCACCCUCAAGUUAAGCUGCUUGAAAACCAAGUUCAAAUAUGUGUGAGGGUAGUGCAGUUGGGCAUGCGAUUCUAUUGCACCUGAUGUAAUCGGACCAUUAGAUCAGUUUUGAAAUAGUGAUCUUCGAACAAUUUUUUUUGUACUUGUAGGGAUAGUUUUCAUUACUUGAGACAUUUCCCAGAACCAUUAGUAGUCUUGUACAUUGAAUCAAUUUAUUAUACGGCUUUGUUAUUCCUAGGGACAUGUUGAUUGUUUUUCCAUUACAUAGCAUUGUUUUACGGCCAUCGGGCUACCAUCUGUUCCUUGAGGCUGGUGAUUGUACCGUAUUCGUGAUGAUACGUAUGUCCCUUUUAUGUUCCAUUCUUCAGAUAUUAAUG